AAAAAAAUUACAAAUUUUUAACUUAAAUUUGAGAAAAAACGAAUUUUAAUAUUGAACCGAGUUAUUAAUUUUACCGAAUUUGACAGGUUUUGAUCAAAUUUAUCGGUUUAGCUCUAAUCCAGUUUUAUCUCAACUCGGAAUCGGUAAGAAAAGCAAAUCAUUUUCCGACCAGUGUGGUCCGGUUUACAAAUACUACUGUAAAGAUUAGUCUUCUGUGAUUACUGCCAAAUGUAAAAACCUCUUUUUUCCUGUUAAUCAGUUAACUGAAGGCAUGUCAUAUUUUAGAGCGAGCGGUCCCACAUGACAGAUAACUAAACUAAGAUCGUGAUUAACCCCGUUUUUUUUAACGGGAGUUUUUAGCUUCUGCUAAAAGACAGUUCUUAGAUUUACUUAGAUUUUAACUAAGAAAAGCUAAGAACCGUCUCUUAGCCGAAAAAUGUAAAGAAAAAAAACAAAAAAAAUGUCAGAUCAUGAGUUAAGAACCCCGGCUAAAAGACCGUUUGAUCAUGCCCUAAAGAAAAUAACCAUUAAUACAAGUCGACCGCCAUAGUCACCGACUCUAAGGGUCCGAAUGGUGACUGCAGAUUUGGUAAUAUUAGCGGGGCGUAAUUAAAGUGUGGUACGGUCCAACUGUGGUUCGUGCGGUUUGCGGGAUAAGUGCGGUUUUGAUUAAAAAAAAGUAGUGGGGUUUUAAUAAAAAAAAGUAGUGGGGUUUUGAUAGAAAAUAUAAUGUAAAAUUAAUUGUUUAAAAUAUUUUUUAUAAAAUUAUUUAUUUUAAUGUGUAAUCCAAAUAAAUGUGUUUAUUUUUUUUCAAAUGUCAUACCCAAAGAUUAAUAUUUGUAUCUUUUGAUAUUUGUGCUAGACAAAAUGAAGUAAAGUUUAGUUAAUAUUCUAAAAUAAAUUUAUUCAGUGGUAAAAGUAAAGACAUAAAAAUACAAUGCAAAAAAUGUGGAGUAAACAUAACCAUAAGAUGAAAGUAUAUAUUGUUAUUAUAAUAUCUUUUAUUAGUAAAAUAAGUAAAUGAAAACUCAAUUUUUAUUAUUAAGCAAGAGAGAGAGUGCGGUAUUUAGUGCGUACCACACCAUAUUAGCAGUAGUAUAUGAAAAGUGCGUUAUUUGCAUGAACUGAACAAACAAAAAAAUAUUUUUUCAACUGGUUAUUUCAUGAAAAAACGCUCUUGAUAUUACAUUUCUCUUGAUCGGUGACAUUUACAAUUUUAAGUCACAUCAAGUCCAAAUACGCACCGCACUAUGGUUUCCAUUCAUAACCUAAACUAAACCAACAAGCACCGUAAUUAAAUACAGAUAUUUUUUAUUUCUUUUUAAACAAAUCUUUGGAAGUCUUACGAAAAUUACAGAGAAAGCAACGACCGAGGAGGAACAAAGUCGAAAAUGAAUAGGUCGCCGGAGAACGAUAAGUGUUCGAUAUGUCAUGCACACUUCACCGCUCCUUGCCAAGCCAAUUGCUCUCACUGGUUCUGCGAAUCUACAACCUAGUCGAUCAAGAUUCAUAACAAGAACAGAGGAUGAGUUUUGAUUCACCUGGAGGUGAUUGAUCGAGUCUGGAGUAAAUAGAAGAGCCGCGAAGCAAGCAACACUGGAACGUUUGUUUCGAAAGUCGUAUUAUACAUCAUCGUUGUCUUCGCUCCAUCACGUUUGAAACCGUUGAACGCGUUUCGCACGGGUUUAUGUUUGUUCGCAGUUUGAUAGUUUGAUGUUAUAUAUUGUACAAUUCUGAUGACAUUAAUAUUUAUGUACUUUGUUCGA
Long non-coding RNA from Brassica napus (rape), 1766 nucleotides. RefSeq lists it as uncharacterized. The transcript is spliced from 2 exons. The record is from RefSeq and is a predicted model, not a curated record. Lineage: Eukaryota; Viridiplantae; Streptophyta; Magnoliopsida; Brassicales; Brassicaceae.